RNAcentral lists this ribosomal RNA (440 nucleotides) under uncultured Hyphomicrobiales bacterium. RNAcentral's name for it is "bacterial SSU rRNA". It matches the Rfam family "Bacterial small subunit ribosomal RNA", at positions 338 to 795 of the family's 1533-position model. Lineage: Bacteria; Pseudomonadati; Pseudomonadota; Alphaproteobacteria; Hyphomicrobiales. The record is from RNAcentral.
CCUACGGGGGGCUGCAGUGGGGAAUCUUGGACAAUGGGCGCAAGCCUGAUCCAGCCAUGCCGCGUGAGUGAAGAAGGCCUUAGGGUUGUAAAGCUCUUUUGGCAGGGACGAUAAUGACGGUACCUGCAGAAUAAGCCCCGGCAAACUUCGUGCCAGCAGCCGCGGUAAUACGAAGGGGGCUAGCGUUGUUCGGAUUUACUGGGCGUAAAGCGCACGUAGGCGGAUUGUUAAGUCAGGGGUGAAAUCCCGGAGCUCAACUCCGGAACUGCCUUUGAUACUGGCAAUCUUGAGGCUGGAAGAGGUUGGUAGAAUUCCCAGUGUAGAGGUGAAAUUCGUAGAUAUUGGGAAGAAUACCAGUGGCGAAGGCGGCCAACUGGUCCAGAUCUGACGCUGAGGUGCGAAAGCGUGGGGAGCAAACAGGAUUAGAUACCCUAGUAGUC